AGUGGGGAAUUUUGGACAAUGGGGGCAACCCUGAUCCAGCCAUGCCGCGUGCGGGAAGAAGGCCUUCGGGUUGUAAACCGCUUUUAGCCGGGAAGAAAAGGCAAGGGUCAACACCUCUUGUUCUUGACGGUACCGGCAGAAUAAGCACCGGCUAACUACGUGCCAGCAGCCGCGGUAAUACGUAGGGUGCGAGCGUUAAUCGGAAUUACUGGGCGUAAAGCGUGCGCAGGCGGUUCGUCGAGUCUGAUGUGAAAGCCCCGGGCUCAACCUGGGAACGGCAUUGGAUACUGGCGGGCUGGAGUGUGGCAGAGGGGGGUGGAAUUCCGCGUGUAGCAGUGAAAUGCGUAGAGAUGCGGAGGAACACCGAUGGCGAAGGCAGCCCCCUGGGCUGACACUGACGCUCAGGCACGAAAGCGUGGGGAGCAAACAGGAUUAGAUACCCUGGUAGUCCACGCCCUAAACGAUGAUCACUGGGUGUUCGGGGAGCGAUCUCUGGGUACCGUAGCUAACGCGUGAAGUGAUCCGCCUGGGGAGUACGGUC
This 541-nucleotide ribosomal RNA is filed under the name uncultured bacterium. Its description in RNAcentral is "bacterial SSU rRNA". It matches the Rfam family "Bacterial small subunit ribosomal RNA", at positions 353 to 887 of the family's 1533-position model. The record is from RNAcentral.